Molecule: ribosomal RNA, 430 nt
Filed under: uncultured Nitrospirales bacterium
Lineage: Bacteria; Pseudomonadati; Nitrospirota; Nitrospiria; Nitrospirales
Description: bacterial SSU rRNA
Rfam family: Bacterial small subunit ribosomal RNA
Source: RNAcentral
UGGGGAAUAUUGCGCAAUGGGCGAAAGCCUGACGCAGCAACGCCGCGUGGGGGAUGAAGGUUCUCGGAUUGUAAACCCCUUUCGACCGGAACGAAUCUCCUCCUGGUGAACAAUCAGGAGGAUUGACGGUACCGGGAGAAGAAGCCACGGCUAACUCUGUGCCAGCAGCCGCGGUAAGACAGAGGUGGCGAGCGUUGUUCGGAUUUAUUGGGCGUAAAGCGUACGCAGGCGGUUUGGUAAGUCAGAGGUGAAAUCCCGCAGCUUAACUGCGGUACUGCCUUUGAUACUGCCUUUCUUGAGUGCAUGAGGGGGAAGCGGAAUUCCGAGUGUAGAGGUGAAAUUCGUAGAUAUUCGGAGGAACACCGGUGGCGAAGGCGGCUUCCUGGCAUGUAACUGACGCUCAUGUACGAAAGCGUGGGGAGCAAACAGG